GCUAUAUCAAAGUAAAUAAGAUAAGAAAUUGAUAUAGACAUAUUUAAAAUAGAAUUAAGAUUCGAUUAAAAUAAAAAUUACUUAAAAUUAUCAAAAAUUGAUAUUCAAAGAAGAUUGGUUGUCAACUUAGAUCAAAAUCAGACCUUGAGGUACAAAAUUAUAUACUUAUGGCAAUUCCAAGGUUCUUUUGUAAAUUUAAAAGUAAAAUUUGACAGAAGACUUCAUAAUAUUUUUUAAAUGUUAAUAUUUUGUAAUUUGAAUUUAUAAUAAUUUUGUAAGAGCUUUGCAAAAUUAAGAUUAUUUUCAAUAAAUGUAGUUUUGUUAAAUAAAAAAGAGUUUAUAUUUGAAAGAAUUUUGUGAUUUUGGUAGUAGAUCUAUAGAUGAUAAUUUGUGGUUUUGUGAUUAUAAUUUUUUUUAUUGCAUGCUAUAAAUUUGAGUAUAAUCCAACAAUUAAAUUGAAGGUUAUUGAAGUUCAAGUAGAUUAGAG
Molecule: long non-coding RNA, 487 nt
Filed under: Physcomitrium patens
Lineage: Eukaryota; Viridiplantae; Streptophyta; Bryopsida; Funariales; Funariaceae
Description: long non-coding RNA (PPAT_LNC006110)
Source: RNAcentral